This 440-nucleotide ribosomal RNA is filed under the name uncultured bacterium. RNAcentral's name for it is "partial 16S ribosomal RNA". It matches the Rfam family "Bacterial small subunit ribosomal RNA", at positions 338 to 795 of the family's 1533-position model. The record is from RNAcentral.
CCUACGGGAGGCAGCAGUGGGGAAUAUUGCACAAUGGGGGAAACCCUGAUGCAGCGACGCCGCGUGAGUGAAGAAGUAUUUCGGUAUGUAAAGCUCUGUCAGCAGGGAAGAAAAUGACGGUACCUGACCAAGAAGCCCCGGCUAACUACGUGCCAGCAGCCGCGGGAAUACGUAGGGGGCAAGCGUUAUCCGGAUUUACUGGGUGUAAAGGGGGCGUAGACGGGAGGGCAAGUCUGGCGUGAAAGGCGGGGGGUCAACCCCCGGACUGCUCUGGAAACUGCCAGGCUGGAGUGCAGGAGAGGUAAGUGGAAUGCCUAGUGUAGCGGUGAAAUGCGUAGAUAUUAGGAGGAACACCAGUGGCGAAGGCGGCUUACUGGACUGCAACUGACGUUGAUGCUCGAAAGCGUGGGGAGCAAACAGGAUUAGAUACCCCUGUAGUC